GCUGCUGGCAGGAGACUUGAAGUCUGGAGCAGGCUUGCUAAAUGAGCCAACCAGAGACACCUGGCACAGGGAGGGAACAUCAGGUUGUUGCUUCCAUGUGAGAGCUGAAGCAAGUCUGUGGGAAGUCUGCAAGAGAAUCAGCUCUGAGCAGGGUAGUCACAAGCUGAACCUUAGGGUGGGUCACUGUCUAAGAACUGAUAAAAGGACUCUUUGGCUCACCUAGGCUCUGAGAGCCUCCCAGCAAAAAUCACCACAAUAUGGAUUUUCUGUCCAGGAAAGAUGAAGAUGGUGAGUCAAGCAGUUGGUGCCCCGACAUGCCCACUCAAAUUAAAAGCAAUGGAGUGAGGGAGCUGCCUACAGGAGACCUGAAGCUUGAGCAGACCUGCUAAACCAGAGACACAUGGCACGGGUGCAGAACAAGGCUCAUAGACAACCAAAAAGAAGUGGGAUGGCUUCGGAGAGUUGGGGGAGAGAGAGCAGAGAAAUAGUGGAUGUGGGUCCAAGAUUUCCCUCAUGGAAAAUUUUGAAAUGACAGCUACAAUUUCCUGCAUUUUAGAUGAUUUUAAGGAAUUGCACAAACUAAAAGGAAACAAAAGUCACCCUGGCAUGGUACAUGAUUUUGGCAAUAACAAGAUAGAAUCCUUGAUGAAAGACCAGCAUAUUUAGUCCAGGCUUAUUUAUUACGGCCACUAUUGCAAUUUAUCACCUUACCCCCAGUCAUGAGAUUGUUUGAUCCAGGUUCUACUGGGCAAUUCCACUUCAGCUGAAGGACUUGGGAAGGCUUUGCAGCCAGCAUGGAACCUUCUGGGCUGGGAAUAGGCCAAGACUGGGAGACGUUAAGAGGUUGCUGUACAGAAAAUAGCCCAGCCAGAAUCUAAAUCAACACACUGGAAUUCAUCAGAACUUGCAUGGACUCCAGCGUCUACCUGGAUGAAACUGCAGUGCUGGAAAAAGAUUGAAAUUGGUUCACACACAAAGCUAACUUUGGGGGUUUGUGAAGUCCAUGACCAGGAACCUCCAAGUUUUUGGAAGGUCCUGACAACUUUAUCUGCAAGAGGUCUGUUGUGGUCACCAUUACUAGGGAUUAGGCCAUCUGGCAGUUCCUUCUGUCUCUCAGCAAGCUGGCUGCAUCUGCAGUCUCCCGCGCUGAGCUGCCAUUGCAGCCUCAAGCCAACAGAGCUAACACAGCCGGGGAGCGGUGUGCAUCACAGCCAGUACAGCAGGCCCAGCUCAGAUAGUUGAGUUCCAUGGUGAGGUGGAAAUAAGGGGCCCUGAAUGUUAUCUCAGCACUGAGUUUCAGGAGCUCAUCUCUGGUGCAGGAGCAACAGAGACUAGGAGAGUCCAGCCCCCCACUGAGAUCUCCUAAGAAACGUAGCACAGUUAGAAGACAGAGAAAUCUGGGAAGAUGAAGACCCCUUUUCCCUUCACCAGUGGUGUGUGGGUAAUGAGGAAGGCAACAGAGAGGGAUGCAGGUGGGUGAAGGGUGGCAAACAGAUAAUAGGAACAGAGGGAGAGUCGCAAAAUCUGGGGGAAUGAGACCGAGUAAUAGGAUGGAUGGGGUAUUCAGGAGAGGAAGUGAAUGAGAGAUGUGAGGAGAAUUAGGGACCCAGGCAAAAAGGAAAACAUGGUUGAGGUGGGUUGGAAAAACUCAGGGGCACCCAGGAAGGAGGGAAAGAGAGAAAAAGUCAUGGAGGAACUUGCGGGUUAAGUUGUGUCCAUAUGUGGUGAGUCUGUGUGCUGGCACAUUGAAGCAAUGUCAUAUGUAGAGCCAAGUUCAAUAGAUAUAGGGUCCCUCUUGAAGAAUAAAACUGACCCAGAAUUCUGGGAAAAAUAAAUAAAUCCUCCUUUGGUUGCCCUAGCAUGCAGAAAUCCUCCCUUUUCCCCCCUCCAUCCCCCGCCGCCCUCCGCAAGCACUCUGAGGCUAUAUGCAAGACAAGGGAAUCUUUAUUAGGGAAAACAGGGACAUAGAAUCUGUGAAAAUUCAGCAAUAAUCUAACAUUCAA
Long non-coding RNA from Chelonia mydas (Green sea turtle), 2003 nucleotides. RefSeq lists it as uncharacterized. Lineage: Eukaryota; Metazoa; Chordata; Testudines; Cheloniidae. The transcript has 6 exons. The record is from RefSeq and is a predicted model, not a curated record.